RNAcentral lists this long non-coding RNA (9860 nucleotides) under Medicago truncatula (barrel medic). Its description in RNAcentral is "long non-coding RNA (MTRU_LNC007681)". Lineage: Eukaryota; Viridiplantae; Streptophyta; Magnoliopsida; Fabales; Fabaceae. The record is from RNAcentral.
AAAAAAAACCUUCAAUUUUUGUCAAAAAAAUAAAUUCCAUUGUCUCUAACUAAUUAUUGAAAUUUUAAACAUGUGUUUGGUCUAACGGUAUGGUAGAAAAAAUCACGGCAAAAAUUCACGGUAACUACAAAAUCUAAAAAUUUGUAAUUUCUUUGAAAUUUGAGUUUGUAACUUCGAACGUCAAAUAAUCGUUCAUUAAGUCUCUAAAGCUCACAUGAUCAGACCAGCUUUGAUUGCAAAAUAUGACCAACUAAUUACUAAUAAACAUUUAAUUUUGUUAGCAGAUCAAUUUAUCUGUUUAAUGUUAAAAUAAAUCUGAUCCAAUUCAAUACUUUUGGACAUAGAUUGAAAUGGUUUCCCCCCCCCCCCCCCCCCCUUUUUUUUUUUUUUUUUUGUAAACUAGGUAUCCUCCGCGCGCAACUGCGGAGACUAAUCCCUCGAGCAUUGUGAGACCCAAAUGGACGGCAGACUCUCCCUAAGAGUUUUAACGCUGCUGGAGGUAUUGUAAAUAAUAUUUUGUGUUAUAUUAUUUUUAAGAGUGUAUAUUUCUAUAUAAAAAGAGUGAGUUUUGCCUUCAACCUCGAGGUAAUCGGUUUGAGACCUAGGCACUGAGAACAUGAGUUUUUUCGAUUAGCUCUUUAAAAAAUUAUUUAUAGGAGGAAUAAUUGUUUUUAUGGAAUUUGUCGUGUAAUAAAAAUCUAAAUCGUCUAGUCUACAAUUUUGUAUAGUCUUCAAUUAUGUUGUGAAUUCGGGCUUUGAAACUUCACACCAAUCCAAACUAUGAUGUGUGGAGAAAGUAUCAAUGGCAACCAACAACCAAAUUAACCAUAAGCAAUAACAAUAAUAUAUACCAAGUCUAUAAACCAAGUGCAUAGCAAAAUCACAAUCCAACCAAAUAAUAAACAAGAUAAAAGAGUAAAGAAAAAUAGACAACAACACCAAGAGAUUGUUCACCCAGUUCGGUCCAACCAUGACCUACUCUGGAGGAGAGAUUGAUCUCUUCAAUCCACUAUCAAUGAGUUCUUACAAAGAGAUACAAAUGAGUUACAAGAAAUUAGCUUCAACAAGCUCACAAAAAACAACCCUAAUUUCUACCAAUUUUCCCAAUCUCACCAAUGAACAAGACACUCAUGAUUUUUACUCUCCCAAGGUGUUUACAAUUGUUUCACAACUCUAGAAUCUAACCCCCAAAAGAGAACCAACUCUUAGCCUUUGAUUUCACUUAGGAUCUUCUCUUUUGGUUUCACAAGACUCACCCAAGUUGCUCGCAAAUGACUCUCCACUCAUGUGUUUCCCAACCCCAUGAAUCUUCUCCAAAAGGCACCAACCCUUUUCACAAGAGCCCCCUCUUUUGGUUCUCCAAGAUUCACAUCUUGAAGCUUUGAACCUCACCCAAAGACCCUCAACCUUUAGUAUCUAAAACCCUAAAAGUUUCAUCCUUUGGUUGUUAUGGGAUUCACCAAGCUUACCCAACAAAUGGAUCAGGGAGUGUUUAAAACAUGUUUCAGAUCUGUCAAAAUCGUGUCACAUUUUGCCUUCAGAACCAAACAUGCAUUCGGCAUCAGAAAUCGUGACACGGUUGCCAAAUCGUGUCAUGAUUCUUCACUUUCAUAAAGACUUAAUUUUGAGUCAUAUAUAUACCAACAAAUUCAAAUUAUAUAAAUGGACGGUAUAUUCUUUAGUAAAAGUAUUAUUUCACAAUUUAAUACGUAUUAUUAAAAGAAAUUAGAAACAAUUAUCAAAAAAUUAUGAUAGAUAAUAUAUUAAACUCGUCUAGUGUGUGUGUAUUUUUGAAGGAUAGUGUGUGUGUGUAUUAACAUCAUUCUCUAAUUAUUUUUGUAGGGAAACAAUGUUGGUUAAAUUGAUGUGUACUUUUUUUUGUAAAAAAUAAUCGACGUAUUUUUAAAUGAGAUUUACAUGUAGAGAGAGACAGCGGUAGACAUAGUAGUAGAACAAUUAAAAUUUAAAAGACCACUUUACAAAUUGCACCAAGUGGUCCUCUAAAAAAGAUCACCGACAGUUGCUUCACUUUACCUUCAUAUAUUUUAGAGCAAUGAUAUUUGAACAAUUAUUUAGUACAACAUUUUUUGACAAUCUUCUUUUUCUCUCUUUUUAUUGGUCAAAAAUAAUGAAGAGAAAAAAGAAGAGAUAGAGUAAAAAUAUAAUAUGAAUAUGAGAAAAAAAAUUGUCUAAAAAUUAUCACAAAAUGGUUGUACAAAUAUUAUUUCUCCAUAUUUUAGACACAGGCUAAUCAUUAAUUAAUUUGUGUAAAAAAAAACAAUAAUAUUAUUUUGACAACAUUAUUCAACACCUUAUCUUUCUUUCAAAAAACAUUAUUCAACACCUUAUGUUCAUAUUAUCAUUUGAUUUUCUUAAUUAUGUUUUACAUCAGUCACAUCAAGUGACAUUUUACACGCUUAUCAAUUUUUUUUGUCAAGUAGCCUAGUGUUUAGAACUCAUAUAAUUUAAUUGUGAAGAAAUGAAGUGUCAGAGAUUCGAACUCCAACCCCUGCAUAUAAUAUGCAAUAUCCCUACCAACUGAACUAAGCUCACGAAGAUCGCGGUUAUCAAUUUUUGUAGUUCAAAUAACAUCACUAAAAAAAGCUACGAGGCAGACGCACAAAUUUUCAUUGAGCAGUUGUGUUAAUUAAUUUUAUAACGCAAGGAAAAUGGUGAAGUUUUUGUGAAUAGAGAAAUGAUAUAUAUACAAUCAUUUUCAAACAACUUUUGUAAUAACUUUAUCUCUCAUUUUUAUAUUUUAUUUUUAUUUUUUUCUCUAUUAUUUUGGUUUUCGUUUAUGAUUUUUUGUAAGAAAAUGAUUGUCUAUGUAGUUAUCAAUCACAUUGAUGUUCAAAUAACAUUGCUUUUGUGAAUAAUGCAAAAUAGUUUCUCGGAACAAUCAAUUAUUCAAUUGAUAUUUACGAAAUUAGUUUUUGUAGGGUGUCCCUAUAAAUCACAUAUACUUUAAAACAGUCAUAUGUAUUCACGAUUCGAGAUCUUAUAAAAAAACCAUUCCAGAUCAUGUAUGAAAAUGAAAUAUAUAUUUUUUUUGACUGGUGUAUGAAAAUGAAAUAUUUUCAAAAAUAAAAUAUACUCUCUGCCCAUAUAAUGUCAGCGUAGGUGUCGGUGUUUUUCUACCGACUAUAAGAAAAACUGUAAAAUAAAUAAAACAAUAUAGUAAUUUAAAUUAGUGAUUGUAAAUUAUUGUCUUAAAUGUAUAGUUCAAUAUAAUAGAUUAAAAAUGAUGAAAAAAAUAUUAAUUUAAGAGUAGAAUUGAAAUAACAUAUAUGUUUUCGAUAGUUUAACUAAAUUGAUAAAGACAUUGCAUAAUAAUAUACAAGUGUUUUGAAAUUCCAUUUAUUCAUUACAUGUGAAUUUUUAGAUAUUAAACUAUUUGGAAAAUAAAAUAAAAUAUCAAAUAAUUAAGGUUUAAAUAUGUAAGUAGUCCCUGUAAUUUCGCGUAUUUUUGUUUUCGUUCCUGUAAGUUAUUUUGUUCUAAAACAAACUCUGUAUUUUGCUAACCUUUUGGAAAAGGUCCUUGCCGUCAGCUUCCGUCAACAAAAACGCCAUGGUGGCUAACGGAGCACACGUGGCAGUUCAUGAGUUGGCAAAGUUGAUGAGAUGGAAUGAGAGAUGAUAAGUUGUUAAAAUACAGGGACUAAAAUCAAAAACGUAAAUUGACACAGGGAUGAAAUUAAAAAAACGUUUAAUCUUCUUUUUCCUCUCAAAUUUCAGUCUUCUUCUUCCUCUCAAACUUUCCCCAAUCUAUCCCAUACCUUGCGCCCUUGAACCAAAACUCAUAUCCUUCAACAAUUUAUUCUAAUUCCAUUACUCAAUCAUAUUGUGUGUUUUGAUUGUAAUGUUAAGUUGAAACAUUGUAUGCUACUUAAGUUUGAUUAAUUUAGUGAUGGUUGUUGCGAUUGAUUGCAAAUUCAUUCAUAAAGUUUGUAGAUAAUAAAGGCAAGAAUACAUCUUUUUCAUCCCUCUUUUUUUUCCACAAUUCCCUCUUAUUCUUCCAGAUUGCUACAAUUACCAUACAUAAAUAGUCAGAUCCCCUUUCAUCUUUUCUCACUCACAUUCAAAUUCAAACUCUAAUUUCUCAAAUUUUUGCUUUUGAAUUGUGUAAUUUUGUGUUUUUAUGUAAUUGGUGUAGAGAGUUUAUGUUGUUUUAAUGUGUUGAUUAAGAGUGGGUCUUGUUGUUGUUGAUUGAUGAUUAUUAGUUUUGUUUAAAAAAAUAUAUAUGUUUGUUGUUUUCUUUCUUUUCCUGGGUUUGGUGUUGAUGAUUUAUGAAUAUGGUGAUGAAGAUGAAGAAGACAAUGAAGGAAGAAGAAGAAUAAGAUCUUGAUUUUAAAUUUGAAAUUUUGAUUUUACGUUUUUUAUUUUAGUCCCUGUGGUAAUUUACGCUUUUGAUUUUAGUCCCUGACUUUACACAACUAAUCAUCUCUCAUGCCAUCUCAUCAAAUGUGCCAAGUCAUGACCUGCCACCUGUGCUCCGUUAGCCACAAUGGCGUUUUUGUUGACAGAAGCUGAUGGUAAGGACCAUUUUCAAAAGGUCAAAAAGAUACAAGGUUUAUUUUAUAUAAAAAAAAAAACUUACAAGGACGAAAACAAAAAAUACGCGAACUUAGAGGAACCUUUUACAUAUUUAAGCCAAUAACUAAUAGCACUUAUUUUGGUACAUUUCUCUUUUGCAAAUGUGAAACUUAAUAUUGGAUGGGGUCAAUAAUUUUGAGAAUGAAUAAACCCAUUAUUUAGUCUUUUAAUUUUUUUUUUCCAUCCAUCAGGUUUCUAAACUAUUUACAAACACUAAAUGUCCUUAAGACAUAGCUCAAGUAACAAUAUUGAUAUUGAGAAGUUGGAUAUUUUCAUCCGAGUUUGAACUCGAAUUCUUGCAAUUACGAGUGUGAAUUUCAGGUAAUUUAUAUCAAUUUAUCUGUAAACAAAAGGAGAUAUAUACGCGUAACAAAUAGGUCUAAUGCAAAUUAACAACUUAUUUUUAGUUUAUAAAAUAUAUGAAAUUUAAUCCUUUAGUCCCUAGUAUAUUUUAACAAUGGGCACUAAAGCAACAUAUAUUUCAUAUAUUUUAAAUACUACUACAUCUUUCCUUAUGUAUAAGCUCAUUUGACAUUUUCACAUAUAUUAAAAAAGUUAGUAGUGUCUUGACAAAAAAGAAGCUCCUUAGAGUUUCCUUAUGUAUAUUUUUUUAAACCGAAAAAAUUGUGUACAAAAAAUGACUAUUAUUACUAAAAAAAAUCUUUUGCAUAUAGAUGUGUUCAACAUUUAUUUUGCAAUUCUCAAGACAAAUCAGUGGUACAUCUUAAUAAGUGAUAUAUUUGUUAGGAAAAAAAAUUACUAUAUGUAUCUAGUUAUUUGCAAGACUAAUGAUUCUUAGCAAAUAUGCUUAUAUUGAGAGAACUUUUUUCUAAAGAGAGCUUAUAAUUAGAGACUAAGAUUUUGCCAAAAAAUAAAGAAAAAUUAGAGAAUAAGGUUUAUACUAUACUUUAGAAACUAAUUUGAUGAGAUACGACUAAAUCGAAGAUAUAUUUUUUUAGAAUAGUGUUAGAACCUUAGAAAUUAUAAUCAAUAGAAAUAGAAAUGUUCCUUACAGAUCCAUAAUAGUGACAAUCUUGUCUUUUCUUUUGAGGAAAUAAUAAUAAAGGUGGUGCCAACAUUUCAACAAACCUAGCUAUUUUAAUUAUUCUGUUCUCACAGCCUGCACCUUAGAUCAAAUCCAAAUUGGGUCAUCACCGUUCCAAAAUGCUUAGGGACGUUACUCUAAAUGUCAAUAUGAAUGAGUAAUUCAAAUAGUUAACAUAGCCCGCCAGCCUUAUAUAAUAAUAUCAAUAUAUGUCGACUAAUUAUCGAGAUGCUAAAUUGGAGUACACUUCACAAACAAAAAUCUUUCAUAAGGCGUUUUUUCUCUUAAUACAUUUUUUCUUUUCUUAUGCUAGUAACAUUUACUCUGUAUUGGCCUUCCUAAGAAGAAGUUGGAUAGUAGCAAUGUGUUCGUGAGACUGCUGAUAUCUUAAAAGAAUGUUCUCAUAGAUUCCACUUUUUUAGUAAGCUUUUAUGUGUAUGAGUUUGCAAAUUUAACCCUUUUUAAUUCGGAUAGAUUUAUAAGUCACACCUUCAAGUACAAUCGACAAAAUUUCAGUAAUAAUUACGGUUUAGGGUUUAUGGGUCUAGAUCUACUAAAAAUGAGUGGGUGUAUAAAUUAGUAUAUCCUAGAGUUUAUUAUCUUACGUUCGAUCUUCUUUGCAGAAACUCGUGCAUGUUCGUGAUAUAUAUUUUCGCGAGAAGUACAUUUCCCUAAAACAAAAUCAACCACUGACAUAAACACGUCAAAUGUAAGCCGGUAAAUCCAAGCUUUACUAACACGAGUUAUAUUAUAUCAUUGGCAUCAGCUACUUAAGAACUACUGUAGAAAAUUUACAGCAAGUCAUCGAGGCUUAAUAAAAUGUGUUGAUAUAGUUACAAAGAUAAAUUAAAUAGCAGAGCAUACAUGAAGAGAACAAAUGUAGAGCAACCCCUUAAACAAACCCUCUCAGUAAGGUAUCUUCACAUUACUCUAAGUUCAUAAAAGAUGACUUUAAAAACGAUUAUUUCAAAAUGCAAGUAUUCUCCGACCCCUUUUUCCCGGAUCUAGAUCUAAUAGUGUAAGGAUAUAUAUAAAUCAUUGUCACAUUUUACAACUCAAGAGUUUACCUCAACUCGUUUUGUUUAGGUAAAUUCGACUCGAGAACUCGUAUGACUUUACCUAAAAUUAAAAUUAUAUAAAAUUUAUUAUAUAUGCAUGACAUAUGUAAGUUAAUAUAAUAUUGUAAAUAGGUCAAUAGUGCAAAAUAUGACUUAAUUACAAAGACAAAUUAUACCAUAAUAAAAUGUUAUGCUCAACUUAGCUUCAAAAUACAAAAAUUAACGCACAAAAUCAUAAGUCUCUAAGUUUAAGCCAUCCAUAAAACCAUCCAAAAAAAGAAAGUUUCACAAGUUCCUAAAGUUAUUAAUAAAACUAUCUAAAAAAUAAAGUAGUUAAUUUCUUCAAAACGUCAACAAACACCACCACAACAACCCUAACCAGUGUCACAAUCACCGGCGUUGAAAUAUGAAUUUCCACCGUCUGAAUCACAACCCUAAAUGGUAUGUGCUCCCCUGUUCAUGGUUUGAGAACUUAGAAAAGAAAAAGGGCAAUCCGGUGCACUAAAGCUCCCACAUACGCAGGGUCCGGGAAGGGGUCCCACCAUUUUUUGUGUAUUGUACGCAACCUUACCCUGUUUUUGAUCACAAAAGAAAAAGAAACGUUUCAUUUUAGGAACAACUUGUCACUGUAAAGGUAACUAUUAAUUAAACGUUUCAGUCUUUGGGGUUGUAGAAAAGGAAUUGGAUUUUGAAAAAAAUGGGCACAUAAAAAGGGCCAAUUUUUAGAUGUAAACUCGUAAAACUCAGUAAACUCGGUCGAGUUUACACGAGUUUACCUAGUGUUAACUCGGUCAAACUCGUUAAACCUUCCAAUUUUACCAGAAACCGAGUUUACCUCCGAAUUAACAUGAUUUUGGCACCUACGUAAACUCGAAGAGUUAACACUCAAUUUGCGGAACAUUGCAUAUAUAUUUAAAGAUAUAUGUAUAAUUAUAGAGAAAGUAGAGAAGGGAUAUACCAUUUUAUGUAGGGUUAUUAUGUAUCAAAUCAUAAAGAGUCGAGAGUUGUAUUAUACCAUAAUAUUCUUCCGUAAACUGGUAGUCAUGAUCAUGACGUAUAUUAUUCAAGUAUAUGCAAAAACAUGUCUGUAUCUAGUCUAAAUUUUUGACCAAAUGCAUGUAUUUGCUUAUAUUUUGUUACUACUUACUACUCGCCAAGUAAUGCUCAAUAUCUAAUAUAUAUAUUUCAAGACCAUCAAAGAUAACUCAGUUGAACAAUACAUAAUAUAUGCAAGGUUCGGGGUAUAUUACAUUUUCAAUUAUUCUAAUAAUAAAUUUAAAUGACACUUAAAUUAUACAACUAUUAAAUAGAUCUUAGUACCGUAAAAUUUAUAUUCGAGACUUGCUAGGGAGAACCAUCAACCUCAACAAAAAUUUCUACUUGAAUCUAACGCAAACAAAAGGUCCAACCAUCUAUGAAUCUCCGUUGAUAUCACAAAUGAUGUUUGAUACAAGAGAGACAUAUUAGAACAUAAUCUAUGUACAAUCUACAUUAAAAUAAAAAACAAGUCUACAGUCAUAUAAAUAACACAAUUUCAAAAUCUCAAAAUUAGGUAUGAAAACAAAAUGAUUAGAAAAAUAAAUGAUUCAAUCAUUCCGAGAUUUGUGCAAAAAAAAAAAAAAAAACAUUUUGAAAAUACAAUGUUAGAAACUUAUGAUCAAUAUAUAUUUUUCCUUACACAUCAAAAAUAAUUAAGCUAUAUUCUUGUCUUUUCAUUUUGGGCAAACUAAAAUUAAAAUCAAGGUAGUGUCAAUGUUUCUAUAGUCCUAGCUAUUUGAUUUUCUUCUAAGCUAACAAGAGUCUUCCAAAAUCAAAUUCGCGCUCAAAAUUAAAGCAACUUGGGUGGUAACCAUUCCAAAAUACUUAGGGCCACAUUGCUCUAAAAGUCAAUAAGAAUAAGUAAUAAUUCAAAGAUAGCCAACCUUAUAGUAUAUUUUAAUAUGAAUGUAUGCAUGUUUCCUAGAAGGUGAGUAAGCUAACUAAUCAAGAUACUUUGUUGGAGUUAAAUAUGGUAAAGAAUCCAACUAUAAAAUGGGGACUUGCCCCAGCAUUCUUUCACAAACCAAAACCAACUUCUAAGAAAAAAAUGAGGUCCCUAAUGGCCUCUGCUUCUCUCACUCUUGCAUUAGCCAUCCUCUUUUUGAGUUUCCCAUCUGAAAUUUCAGCAAACAAAUACGCAUAUUCCUCUCCACCACCACCACAUUACUCAUCUCCUCCACCUCCACCGGUUCACACUUACCCUAAACCAGUCUACCACUCUCCACCACCACCAGUUCACACCUACCCUAAACCAGUUUACCACUCUCCACCACCACCAGUUCACAAGUACCCUCACCCUAAACCAGUAUACCACUCUCCACCACCCCCAGUUCACAAGUACCCUCAUCCACACCCAGUCUACCAUUCUCCACCACCCCCAGUUCACAAGUACCCCCAUCCUCACCCAGUGUACCACUCUCCCCCACCACCACCACCAAAGAAGUCCUACAAAUACCCAUCUCCCCCACCACCACCAGUUCACACCUACCCUAAACCAGUCUACCACUCUCCUCCACCCCCAGUUCAUCACACCUACCCUAAACCAGUCUACCACUCUCCUCCACCCCCAGUUCACACCUACCCUCACCCUAAACCAGUCUACCACUCUCCACCACCCCCAGUUCACACUUACCCUAAACCAGUCUACCACUCCCCACCACCACCAGUUCACACCUACGUCCCUCACCCUAAGCCAGUCUACCACUCUCCACCACCACCAGUUCACACCUAUCCCCCACAUGUUCCCCACCCAGUUUACCAUUCUCCUCCUCCUCCAGUUCAUUCCCCACCUCCACCACACUAUUACUACAAAUCACCUCCUCCACCUUACCACAACUAGAUAGCCCAUAAUUGGCAUCACACCAUAUGGUAACUUUUCAUGCAACAUAUAUAUUAUAACUUUUCAUAUUCUCUCUUUAUUAACUAGUUAUCGGUAUGAUUGUCGAGUAUAUACUAACAAGGCUAAUUUGAAAUGAAACUUCAUGUGCAAUGAAACAUUCUUUUACUGGUUAAUAUUUUAUUCUAUGUUUCAUUGAAAUUAAUAUUUUUCUAAUAGUAUUUGGUUAUUAAGGGAUUAGAGUAUAUCAGACAUAAACUGACAGAUCAAUAUAUUUGCAUUUGUGUAG